GAGAUAUUAGUAAAACCAUUACAUAAUCUUGUCAAGAUUAAAUCACGAGCCAAACGCCCGUAUAUCUCU
This is a non-coding RNA of Ochotona princeps (American pika), 69 nucleotides long. The record is from Ensembl. Lineage: Eukaryota; Metazoa; Chordata; Mammalia; Lagomorpha; Ochotonidae.